UACGGAGGGUGCAAGCGUUAAUCGGAUUUAUUGGGCGUAAAGGGCGCGUAGGCGGGGAGGAAAGUUAGUUGUGAAAGCCUGAGGCUCAACCUCAGACCCGCAUCUAAAACUUCCUCUCUAGAGGGUGAGCGGAGAAAAUGGAAUUCCACGUGUAGCGGUGAAAUGCGUAGAUAUGUGGAAGAACACCGGUGGCGAAAGCGAUUUUCUAGCUUAUUCCUGACGCUGAGGCGCGAAAGCAAGGGGAGCAAAC
This 250-nucleotide ribosomal RNA is filed under the name uncultured bacterium. Its description in RNAcentral is "partial 16S ribosomal RNA". It matches the Rfam family "Bacterial small subunit ribosomal RNA", at positions 524 to 773 of the family's 1533-position model. The record is from RNAcentral.